CAGCCGCCGCGGGAAUACAGAGGGUGCGAGCGUUAAUCGGAUUUACUGGGCGUAAAGCGUGCGUAGGCGGCUUUUUAAGUCGGAUGUGAAAUCCCCGAGCUUAACUUGGGAAUUGCAUUCGAUACUGGGAAGCUAGAGUAUGGGAGAGGAUGGUAGAAUUCCAGGUGUAGCGGUGAAAUGCGUAGAGAUCUGGAGGAAUACCGAUGGCGAAGGCAGCCAUCUGGCCUAUUACUGACGCUGAGGUACGAAAGCAUGGGGAGCAAACAGGAUUAGAUACCCCAGUAGUCCCUGUCUCUUUACC
This 301-nucleotide ribosomal RNA is filed under the name uncultured bacterium. Its description in RNAcentral is "partial 16S ribosomal RNA". It matches the Rfam family "Bacterial small subunit ribosomal RNA", at positions 509 to 808 of the family's 1533-position model. The record is from RNAcentral.